AUGGUUGUUUGUCUAUAUGUGCUCUGUGAUUGGUUGGCGACCAGUCCAGGGUGUACCCCGCCUCUCGCCUGAAGUCAGCUGGGACUUGGCUAGGCUGCAGCAUAACCGUUGCGACCCGAAUGAGGAUAAGCGUCAUAUAAAUUGGAUGGAUGGAAUAUAAUGGACUUCAACUUCUACAGGCUGACAGGGGGAAUAUGGAUCUUCUGCUGGCUCUGAGAGCUUCUUGUUACUGGGAGCAGGGUGAAGGCUCUGAUUGCCGGCUGAGACACAAUGAAAGACAGAACGAGGGGAAACGAAGUACCUUUCUCGAGGCAGACUGAAACGAGGUUGUUUUGGACAUCGUUUGCUGAGGGUGAACAACUUCCUGAUGAUCUUCUGAGCUUUGCCCUGGACCAAAGCUACGCUGGACUCGAGCUGGGCGUAGCGCUUCUGGAGGGAGACGUCAGCAGACCAGUACUUGGCUACCAUGGACACAUUCAAGAAUUGGUCGAUGCAGACGUAAAGACAUAAACCUGAGCUUCAGUCUGAGCUGUCUUCAUGUGAGGAGUCAAAAAAAGGGAGCUCGAUUGGGGACUGCUGAAAGUGUGGCAUGAAGAAAAGGUAAG
Molecule: non-coding RNA, 605 nt
Organism: Doryrhamphus excisus (bluestripe pipefish)
Lineage: Eukaryota; Metazoa; Chordata; Actinopteri; Syngnathiformes; Syngnathidae
Source: RefSeq, a predicted model, not a curated record